RNAcentral lists this long non-coding RNA (1028 nucleotides) under Nicotiana tabacum (common tobacco). RNAcentral describes it as "long non-coding RNA (NTAB_LNC015770)". The record is from RNAcentral. Lineage: Eukaryota; Viridiplantae; Streptophyta; Magnoliopsida; Solanales; Solanaceae.
AACCCCAAACUGAGCUUUUCCGUGCAAUCAGCAUUAGGGUUUUAAACCCUAAACUGAACUUUUUCCCAUACAGCCAGCAUUAGGGUUUAAAACUCCAAACUGAGCUUUUCCUUCCAUUCAGCAUUAGGGUUUUAAACCCUAAACUGAACUUUUUUCCAUUCAGCCAGCAUUAGGGUUUUAAACCCUAAACUGAGCUUUUCCAUGCGAUCAACAUUAGGGUUUUAAACCCUAAACUGAAUUUUUCCUUUAGUCAGCAUUAGGGUUUUAAACCCUAAACUGAACUUUUUUCCAUUCAGCCAGCAUUAGGGUUUUAAACCCCAAACUGAGCUUUUCCAUGCAAUCAGCAUUAGGGUUUUAAACCCUAAACUGAAUUUUUCCUUUAGCCGGCUUUAGGGUUUUAAACCCUAAACUGAACUUUUUUCCUUUCAGCCAACAUUAGGGUUUUAACCCUAAACUGAGCUUUUCCAUGUAAUCAGCAUUAGGGUUUUAAACCCUAAACUGAAUUUUCCUUUUAGUCAGCAUUAGGGUUUUAAACCCUAAACUGAACUUUUUUCCAAUCAGCCAGCAUUAGGGUUUUAAACCCUAAACUGAGCUUUUCCAUGUAAUCAGCAUUAGGGUUUUAAGCCCUAAACUGAAUUUUCCUUUUAGUCAGCAUUAGGGUUUUAAACCCUAAACUGAACUUUUUUCCAUUCAGCCAGCAUUAGGGUUUUAAGCCCUAAACUGAGCUUUUCCAUGUAAUCAGCAUUAGGGUUUUAAACCCUAAACUAAAUUUUCCUUUUAGUCAGCAUUAGGGUUUUAAACCCUAAACUGUACUUUUUUCCAUUCAGCCAGCAUUAGGGUUUUAAACCCCAAACUGAGCUUUUCCUUCCAGUCGGCAUUAGGGUUUUAAACCCUAAACUGAAUUUUCCUUUCAGUCAGCAUUAGAGUUUUAAACCCUAAACUGAAUUUUUCCUUUCAGUCAGCAUAAGGGUUUAAAACCCUAAACUGAAUUUUUCCUUUAGUUAGCAUUAGGGUUUUAUACCCUAAAC